Molecule: ribosomal RNA, 253 nt
Filed under: uncultured bacterium
Lineage: Bacteria
Description: partial 16S ribosomal RNA
Rfam family: Bacterial small subunit ribosomal RNA
Source: RNAcentral
UACGUAGGUGGCAAGCGUUAUCCGGAUUUAUUGGGCGUAAAGCGAGCGCAGGUGGUCUUUUAAGUCUGAUGUGAAAGCCUUCGGCUUAACCGAAGAAGUGCAUUGGAAACUAGAAGACUUGAGUACAGAAGAGGACAGUAGAACUCCAUGUGUAGCGGUGAAAUGCGUAGAUAUAUGGAAGAAUACCAGUGGCGAAGGCGGCUGUCUGGUCUGUUACUGACGCUGAGGCUCGAAAGCAUGGGUAGCAAACAGG